Molecule: non-coding RNA, 184 nt
Filed under: Clostridium tetanomorphum
Lineage: Bacteria; Bacillati; Bacillota; Clostridia; Eubacteriales; Clostridiaceae
Source: RNAcentral
AAUAAUAUGAAUUUUUAUGGUGCAAUAUUGAAUUGCUUAAAAGGGAAGCUUGGUGUAAAUCCAACACGGUCCCGCCACUGUAAGAGUGAGCAUAUCAUUGUAUACCACUGUUGUUUAUCAAUGGGAAGGUAAUGAUAGUGCUAUGAUCUCAAGUCAGGAGACCUGCCAUGAAAACUUAUAAGAU